GAUGCAAAUACAGCAGAUCACUCAAGGGAUGCUGAAACAUUAUUUGGUAUUCAAACAACUCUGGAAAAGUAUGAACAUCCAAUUUUGAAAAUGAACUAAAAGAUACUGAUUAUAAAGAAUUUAUGCAAUAUGCAAAUACAGCAGAUCGCUCAAGGGAUGCUGAAACAUUAUUUGGUAUUCAAACAACUCUGGAAAAGUAUGAACAUCCAAUUUUGAAAAUGAACUAACGAAUACUGAUUAUAAUGAAUUUAUGCAAAUUACAUAUUGCAAUACAGCAGACAAUGAAAGCCAUGGUGAGACAUGAGUUCGCGAUUCUAUCAGUUUGGAAAAUAUAAACAUCCUAUGUUGAAAAUGGACUAGAAGAUACUGAUAAUAAUAAUUGUUUUAUUCAACAUACGUGUAGAGCUUAUAAUAGAAUAUAAUUUAUAGGAAAUUAAUAGUUAUGUAACAAAAUGUUAAUGUUAUGAAAUCCUGACAAUAGGACUAAGUAAAUGAUACUUAUUUACUAUAAUUAACUUUCAUACAAUUCAUUUAACUUGAUACUUCAUAAACACUAAAAAACAUGAUUUUAUAUGAUC
Molecule: long non-coding RNA, 578 nt
Organism: Rhopalosiphum padi (bird cherry-oat aphid)
Lineage: Eukaryota; Metazoa; Arthropoda; Insecta; Hemiptera; Aphididae
Exons: 3
Source: RefSeq, a predicted model, not a curated record